Molecule: ribosomal RNA, 252 nt
Filed under: uncultured bacterium
Lineage: Bacteria
Description: partial 16S ribosomal RNA
Rfam family: Bacterial small subunit ribosomal RNA
Source: RNAcentral
GACAGAGGGUGCAAACGUUGUUCGGAAUUACUGGGCGUAAGCGCGUGUAGGCGGCUCGGAAAGUCGGGUGUGAAAGCCCUGGGCUCAACCUAGGAAGUGCACUCGAAACUUCCGAGCUGGAGUUCUGGAGAGGAAGGCGGAAUUCUCGGUGUAGAGGUGAAAUUCGUAGAUAUCGAGAGGAACACCGGUGGCGAAGGCGGCCUUCUGGACAGCAACUGACGCUGAGACGCGAAAGCGUGGGGAGCAAACAGG